RNAcentral lists this long non-coding RNA (236 nucleotides) under Rhinopithecus bieti (black snub-nosed monkey). Its description in RNAcentral is "lncRNA (ENSRBIG00000045798.1)". The record is from RNAcentral. Lineage: Eukaryota; Metazoa; Chordata; Mammalia; Primates; Cercopithecidae.
CUCUCUUGCUUCCAGCAGGAGUUAGAAUCUAACAUUUCUUUACAAUGGCCUCUCUAACUUCUUGGACUCAAGGAUAUCUGUACGUGCAAGAUACAAUAAUCAGUGGAUACACAUUGUUAGGUUCCGGCGGAGUCAGCGGGCAAGGGGAGAGCAGCUGAAAGAACACUCAAGAGACCACAGGUAGGUGGGACAUGGCUUUAUGCAGCAGCUCACUCACACUGUCGGUGCUGCAUUUA